GUGGAUUAGAUACCCUGGUAGUCCACGCCGUAAACGAUGUCUACUAGCCGUUGGGAGCCUUGAGCUCUUAGUGGCGCAGCUAACGCACUAAGUAGACCGCCUGGGGAGUACGGUCGCAAGAUUAAAACUCAAAUGAAUUGACGGGGGCCCGCACAAGCGGUGGAGCAUGUGGUUUAAUUCGACGCAACGCGAAGAACCUUACCAGGUCUUGACAUCCAGAGAACUUUCCAGAGAUGGAUUGGUGCCUUCGGGAGCUCUGAGACAGGUGCUGCACGGUCGUCGCCAACU
Molecule: ribosomal RNA, 288 nt
Filed under: uncultured bacterium
Lineage: Bacteria
Description: partial 16S ribosomal RNA
Rfam family: Bacterial small subunit ribosomal RNA
Source: RNAcentral